GCUUGCCUUGCAUGUCUAUAUCAUAAUCUCUGUUUAGCAGUUAUUGGAGUAAAAAGAAAAAAUCUUAGUGGCCCCCUCACAUUGUUGCAGAUUUGGGCAUGGUCUCGAUUACAUAUGUUGGCUCCUCGAAUUAAAUCAAUAAACUCUAUUGUUCUCGAUCCUCAAAUGCUUGCUAAUGGUGUAAUGCUUCCUGCUGCGCCUUACGGAGCUAGGUGGGCUCGGGGUAAACAUGAUUUUACUCCAACUGUUCAUGGUUGUGUGG
This is a long non-coding RNA of Andrographis paniculata, 262 nucleotides long. RefSeq lists it as uncharacterized. The record is from RefSeq and is a predicted model, not a curated record. NCBI's taxonomy places the organism in Eukaryota, Viridiplantae, Streptophyta, Magnoliopsida, Lamiales, Acanthaceae. The transcript is spliced from 3 exons.